This 505-nucleotide ribosomal RNA is filed under the name uncultured fungus. RNAcentral's name for it is "SSU rRNA". It matches the Rfam family "Eukaryotic small subunit ribosomal RNA", at positions 569 to 1078 of the family's 1831-position model. Lineage: Eukaryota; Fungi. The record is from RNAcentral.
CGCAGCCGCGGUAAUUCCAGCUCCAAUAGCGUAUAUUAAAGUUGUUGCAGUUAAAAAGCUCGUAGUUGAAUUUCGGGAUUAGUACGUUGGUCGUGCCUUCGGUACGUACUGGUGUUACUGAUUCCUACCUUCUGACGAACCAUCAUGUCAUUAAUUUGGUGUGGCGGGGAAUCAGGACUGUUACUUUGAAAAAAUUAGAGUGUUUAAAGCAGGCUCGCGCUUGAAUACAUUAGCAUGGAAUAAUGAAAUAGGACGUUGACCCUAUUUUGUUGGUUUCUAGGAUUGACGUAAUGAUUAAUAGGGAUAGUUGGGGGCAUUAGUAUUCAAUUGUCAGAGGUGAAAUUCUUGGAUUUAUUGAAGACUAACUACUGCGAAAGCAUUUGCCAAGGAUGUUUUCAUUAAUCAAGAACGAAAGUUAGGGGAUCGAAGACGAUCAGAUACCGUCGUAGUCUUAACCAUAAACUAUGCCGACUAGGGAUCGGAUGAUGUUAUUUUUAAUNACGCA